Molecule: transfer RNA, 61 nt
Filed under: Telamonia vlijmi
Lineage: Eukaryota; Metazoa; Arthropoda; Arachnida; Araneae; Salticidae
Description: tRNA-Asn
Source: RNAcentral
UAGAUAAGGAGCUGUUAGCAUUUUCAUUGUUAAUGAAAGGAAGUAUUUUUAGUACGGCUAG